RNAcentral lists this ribosomal RNA (289 nucleotides) under uncultured bacterium. Its description in RNAcentral is "partial 16S ribosomal RNA". It matches the Rfam family "Bacterial small subunit ribosomal RNA", at positions 227 to 507 of the family's 1533-position model. The record is from RNAcentral.
CGGCCGAUAUCAGAUUAGGUAGUUGGUGACGGUAAAGGCUCACCCAAGCCGACGAUCUGUAGCUGGUCUGANAGGACGACCAGCCACACUGGGACUGAGACACGGCCCAGACUCCUACGGGAGGCAGCAGUGGGGAAUUUUGGACAAUGGGCGCAAGCCUGAUCCAGCAAUGCCGCGUGCAGGAUGAAGGCCUUCGGGUUGUAAACUGCUUUGUACGGAACGAAACGGUGAGCUCUAAUACAGUUUGCUAAUGACGGUACCGUAAGAAUAAGCACCGGCUAACUACGUG